This 68-nucleotide transfer RNA is filed under the name Ophiosteira antarctica. Its description in RNAcentral is "tRNA-His". Lineage: Eukaryota; Metazoa; Echinodermata; Ophiuroidea; Amphilepidida; Ophiuridae. The record is from RNAcentral.
UCGAUAAUAGUUUAUAAAAAACAUUAGAUUGUGAUUCUAAAAAAUAAGAAUAAUAAUCUUAUAUCGAC